RNAcentral lists this ribosomal RNA (2902 nucleotides) under Salmonella enterica subsp. enterica serovar Enteritidis. RNAcentral's name for it is "bacterial LSU rRNA". It matches the Rfam family "Bacterial large subunit ribosomal RNA". The record is from RNAcentral. Lineage: Bacteria; Pseudomonadati; Pseudomonadota; Gammaproteobacteria; Enterobacterales; Enterobacteriaceae.
UUAAGCGACUAAGCGUACACGGUGGAUGCCCUGGCAGUCAGAGGCGAUGAAGGGCGUGCUAAUCUGCGAUAAGCGCCGGUAAGGUGAUAUGAACCGUUAUAACCGGCGAUACCCGAAUGGGGAAACCCAGUGUGACUCGUCACACUAUCAUUAACUGAAUCCAUAGGUUAAUGAGGCGAACCGGGGGAACUGAAACAUCUAAGUACCCCGAGGAAAAGAAAUCAACCGAGAUUCCCCCAGUAGCGGCGAGCGAACGGGGAGGAGCCCAGAGCCUGAAUCAGCAUGUGUGUUAGUGGAAGCGUCUGGAAAGGCGCGCGAUACAGGGUGACAGCCCCGUACACAAAAGCGCAUGUGCUGUGAGCUCGAUGAGUAGGGCGGGACACGUGGUAUCCUGUCUGAAUAUGGGGGGACCAUCCUCCAAGGCUAAAUACUCCUGACUGACCGAUAGUGAACCAGUACCGUGAGGGAAAGGCGAAAAGAACCCCGGCGAGGGGAGUGAAAAAGAACCUGAAACCGUGUACGUACAAGCAGUGGGAGCACCCUUUGGGUGUGACUGCGUACCUUUUGUAUAAUGGGUCAGCGACUUAUAUUCUGUAGCAAGGUUAACCGAAUAGGGGAGCCGGAGGGAAACCGAGUCUUAAUUGGGCGUUAAGUUGCAGGGUAUAGACCCGAAACCCGGUGAUCUAGCCAUGGGCAGGUUGAAGGUUGGGUAACACUAACUGGAGGACCGAACCGACUAAUGUUGAAAAAUUAGCGGAUGACCUGUGGCUGGGGGUGAAAGGCCAAUCAAACCGGGAGAUAGCUGGUUCUCCCCGAAAGCUAUUUAGGUAGCGCCUCGUGAAUUCAUCUCCGGGGGUAGAGCACUGUUUCGGCUAGGGGGCCAUCCCGGCUUACCAACCCGAUGCAAACUGCGAAUACCGGAGAAUGUUAUCACGGGAGACACACGGCGGGUGCUAACGUCCGUCGUGAAGAGGGAAACAACCCAGACCGCCAGCUAAGGUCCCAAAGUCAUGGUUAAGUGGGAAACGAUGUGGGAAGGCCCAGACAGCCAGGAUGUUGGCUUAGAAGCAGCCAUCAUUUAAAGAAAGCGUAAUAGCUCACUGGUCGAGUCGGCCUGCGCGGAAGAUGUAACGGGGCUAAACCAUGCACCGAAGCUGCGGCAGCGACACUGUGUGUUGUUGGGUAGGGGAGCGUUCUGUAAGCCUGCGAAGGUGGCCUGUGAGGGUUGCUGGAGGUAUCAGAAGUGCGAAUGCUGACAUAAGUAACGAUAAAGCGGGUGAAAAGCCCGCUCGCCGGAAGACCAAGGGUUCCUGUCCAACGUUAAUCGGGGCAGGGUGAGUCGACCCCUAAGGCGAGGCCGAAAGGCGUAGUCGAUGGGAAACGGGUUAAUAUUCCCGUACUUGGUGUUACUGCGAAGGGGGGACGGAGAAGGCUAUGUUGGCCGGGCGACGGUUGUCCCGGUUUAAGCGUGUAGGUGUGUGUUCCAGGUAAAUCCGGUUCACUUUAACACUGAGGCGUGACGACGAGGCACUACGGUGCUGAAGCAACAAAUGCCCUGCUUCCAGGAAAAGCCUCUAAGCAUCAGGUAACAUCAAAUCGUACCCCAAACCGACACAGGUGGUCAGGUAGAGAAUACCAAGGCGCUUGAGAGAACUCGGGUGAAGGAACUAGGCAAAAUGGUGCCGUAACUUCGGGAGAAGGCACGCUGACACGUAGGUGAAGUGAUUUACUCAUGGAGCUGAAGUCAGUCGAAGAUACCAGCUGGCUGCAACUGUUUAUUAAAAACACAGCACUGUGCAAACACGAAAGUGGACGUAUACGGUGUGACGCCUGCCCGGUGCCGGAAGGUUAAUUGAUGGGGUCAGCGCAAGCGAAGCUCCUGAUCGAAGCCCCGGUAAACGGCGGCCGUAACUAUAACGGUCCUAAGGUAGCGAAAUUCCUUGUCGGGUAAGUUCCGACCUGCACGAAUGGCGUAAUGAUGGCCAGGCUGUCUCCACCCGAGACUCAGUGAAAUUGAACUCGCUGUGAAGAUGCAGUGUACCCGCGGCAAGACGGAAAGACCCCGUGAACCUUUACUAUAGCUUGACACUGAACAUUGAGCCUUGAUGUGUAGGAUAGGUGGGAGGCUUUGAAGUGUGGACGCCAGUCUGCAUGGAGCCGACCUUGAAAUACCACCCUUUAAUGUUUGAUGUUCUAACGUGGACCCGUUACCCGGGUUGCGGACAGUGUCUGGUGGGUAGUUUGACUGGGGCGGUCUCCUCCUAAAGAGUAACGGAGGAGCACGAAGGUUGGCUAAUCCUGGUCGGACAUCAGGAGGUUAGUGCAAUGGCAUAAGCCAGCUUGACUGCGAGCGUGACGGCGCGAGCAGGUGCGAAAGCAGGUCAUAGUGAUCCGGUGGUUCUGAAUGGAAGGGCCAUCGCUCAACGGAUAAAAGGUACUCCGGGGAUAACAGGCUGAUACCGCCCAAGAGUUCAUAUCGACGGCGGUGUUUGGCACCUCGAUGUCGGCUCAUCACAUCCUGGGGCUGAAGUAGGUCCCAAGGGUAUGGCUGUUCGCCAUUUAAAGUGGUACGCGAGCUGGGUUUAGAACGUCGUGAGACAGUUCGGUCCCUAUCUGCCGUGGGCGCUGGAGAACUGAGGGGGGCUGCUCCUAGUACGAGAGGACCGGAGUGGACGCAUCACUGGUGUUCGGGUUGUCAUGCCAAUGGCACUGCCCGGUAGCUAAAUGCGGAAGAGAUAAGUGCUGAAAGCAUCUAAGCACGAAACUUGCCCCGAGAUGAGUUCUCCCUGAGACUUAAAGUCUCCUGAAGGAACGUUGAAGACGACGACGUUGAUAGGCCGGGUGUGUAAGCGCAGCGAUGCGUUGAGCUAACCGGUACUAAUGAACCGUGAGGCUUAACCUU